This 1507-nucleotide ribosomal RNA is filed under the name Panaeolus sphinctrinus. RNAcentral's name for it is "eukaryotic LSU rRNA". The stretch from base 556 to 1507 matches the Rfam family "Eukaryotic large subunit ribosomal RNA", at positions 1 to 941 of the family's 3401-position model. Lineage: Eukaryota; Fungi; Basidiomycota; Agaricomycetes; Agaricales. The record is from RNAcentral.
UGGGUGGUGUUGCUGUCCCUCUCGGGGGAAUCGUGCACGCCUUACCUUAUUUGUUUUUCCACCUGUGCACACACUGUAGGUCUGGAGUGGAAGGGAGGCAACUCCCUAACGUUUCAGGUCCUAUGUAUUUACACAUACACUAUUAAAAGUAACAGAACGAUUCAAUGGGCUCUAAGCCUAUAAACUAUAUACAACUUUCAGCAACGGAUCUCUUGGCUCUCGCAUCGAUGAAGAACGCAGCGAAAUGCGAUAAGUAAUGUGAAUUGCAGAAUUCAGUGAAUCAUCGAAUCUUUGAACGCACCUUGCGCUCGUUGGUAUUCCGACGAGCAUGCCUGUUUGAGUGUCAUUAAAUUCUCAACCUCAUCGCUUUUGUGAUGAUGGCUUGGAUGUGGAGGUUUUCUGCAGGCCGAAAGGUCUGCUCCUCUCAAAUGAAUUAGUGGGUGCCCCGUGCAAACCUAUCUAUUGGUGUGAUAAUUAUCUACGCCGUGGAUCUUAGGAUUGCUGUAAAAAGGUGUUUGCCCUGCUUCUAACCGUCUUCGGACAACUUGAACCAUUUGACCUCAAAUCAGGUAGGACUACCCGCUGAACUUAAGCAUAUCAAUAAGCGGAGGAAAAGAAACUAACAAGGAUUCCCCUAGUAACUGCGAGUGAAGCGGGAAAAGCUCAAAUUUAAAAUCUGGCAGUCUUUGAUUGUCCGAGUUGUAAUCUAGAGAAGCAUUAUCCGCGCUGGACCGUGUACAAGUCUCCUGGAAUGGAGCGUCAUAGAGGGUGAGAAUCCCGUCUUUGACACGGACUGCCAGGGCUUUGUGAUGUGCUCUCAAAGAGUCGAGUUGUUUGGGAAUGCAGCUCAAAAUGGGUGGUAAAUUCCAUCUAAAGCUAAAUAUUGGCGAGAGACCGAUAGCGAACAAGUACCGUGAGGGAAAGAUGAAAAGAACUUUGGAAAGAGAGUUAAACAGUACGUGAAAUUGCUGAAAGGGAAACGCUUGAAGUCAGUCGCGUUGUCCGGGAAUCAACCUUGCUUUUGCUGGGCGUACUUCCUGGUUAACGGGUCAGCAUCAAUUUUGACCGUUGGAUAAAGUUGUUGGGAAUGUGGCUUCUUCGGAAGUGUUAUAGCCCAGUUUCGCAUACAACGGUUGGGAUUGAGGAACUCAGCACGCCGAAAGGCCGGGUUUUUAACCACGUUCGUGCUUAGGAUGCUGGCAAAAUGGCUUUAAUCGACCCGUCUUGAAACACGGACCAAGGAGUCUAACAUGCCUGCGAGUGUUUGGGUGGAAAACCCGAGCGCGUAAUGAAAGUGAAAGUUGAGAUCCCUGUCGUGGGGAGCAUCGACGCCCGGACUUGAACUUCUGUGACGGAUCCGCGGUAGAGCAUGUAUGUUGGGACCCGAAAGAUGGUGAACUAUGCCUGAAUAGGGUGAAGCCAGAGGAAACUCUGGUGGAGGCUCGUAGCGAUUCUGACGUGCAAAUCGAUCGUCAAAUUUGGGUAUAGGGGCAAAGACAAUCGACCU